RNAcentral lists this ribosomal RNA (301 nucleotides) under uncultured bacterium. Its description in RNAcentral is "partial 16S ribosomal RNA". It matches the Rfam family "Bacterial small subunit ribosomal RNA", at positions 509 to 807 of the family's 1533-position model. The record is from RNAcentral.
CAGCCGCCGCGGUAAUACAGAGGAUGCAAGCGUUAUCCGGAAUUAUUGGGCGUAAAGGGCUCGCAGGCGGUUUCUUAAGUCUGAUGUGAAAGCCCCCGGCUCAACCGGGGAGGGUCAUUGGAAACUGGGAAACCUGAGUGCAGAAGAGGAGAGUGGAAUUCCACGUGUAGCGGUGAAAUGCGUAGAGAUGUGGAGGAACACCAGUGGCGAAGGCGACUCUCUGGUCUGUAACUGACGCUGAGGAGCGAAAGCGUGGGGAGCGAACAGGAUUAGAUACCCGAGUAGUCCCUGUCUCUUAUAC